ACCCACCGCCGUCAAUCUACCUACUGCUGCCAAUCUAUCUACUGCUGCCAACCUAUCUAUCACUGCUAAUCUAUCACUGCUAAUCUAUCACUGCUAAUCUAUUGCUGCCAACCUAUCUACCACUGUCAACCUACCUACCGCUGCCAACCUAUCUAUCACUGCCAAUCUAUAUAGGGUAAAUCAUGGUCCCAUUUGGUCCCAUUUUGUAAAAUGGGACCAAAUGGGACCAGAAUCACUAAUUUAUUAGUAAAACAUGAUCUGGGACUAGAUUUAUAAUAUAAACAGUGUAAAGUGACUAAUUUGCUAAACACUAUAUGGGACCAGGACUAAGAUAUCUAAUAAUGGGACUGAGGAAAAAUUUGGUCCCAGUCCCAUGCAUGGUCACACGGCCAGUCUAGAUUUCUGUGAUUUCAGCAUUUGACUUGCCAAAAUAGGGUGAUUUAAGAGUCAUCACAAGAGCUCUUGUGGCAAUAUCAGUAUUGGGUGCCAUAUAAAUCAGCAGAUGAAAUAUUAGAGAUGAGAUAUUUGAGAAAAA
RNAcentral lists this small RNA (535 nucleotides) under Histoplasma capsulatum. Its description in RNAcentral is "hypothetical RNA". The record is from RNAcentral. RNAcentral also lists the same sequence under 1 other name. Lineage: Eukaryota; Fungi; Ascomycota; Eurotiomycetes; Onygenales; Ajellomycetaceae.